CAUGAGUAACACGUGGGCAACCUGCCUGUAAGACUGGGAUAACUUCGGGAAACCGGAGCUAAUACCGGAUAAUCCUUUUCCUCUCAUGAGGAAAAGCUGAAAGACGGUUUCGGCUGUCACUUACAGAUGGGCCCGCGGCGCAUUAGCUAGUUGGUGAGGUAACGGCUCACCAAGGCGACGAUGCGUAGCCGACCUGAGAGGGUGAUCGGCCACACUGGGACUGAGACACGGCCCAGACUCCUACGGGAGGCAGCAGUAGGGAAUCUUCCGCAAUGGACGAAAGUCUGACGGAGCAACGCCGCGUGAGCGAUGAAGGCCUUCGGGUCGUAAAGCUCUGUUGUCAGGGAAGAACAAGUACCGGAGUAACUGCCGGUACCUUGACGGUACCUGACCAGAAAGCCACGGCUAACUACGUGCCAGCAGCCGCGGUAAUACGUAGGUGGCAAGCGUUGUCCGGAANUUAUUGGGCGUNAAAGCGCGCGCAGGCGGUUCCUUAAGUCUGAUGUGAAAGCCCCCGGCUCAACCGGGGAGGGUCAUUGGAAACUGGGGAACUUGAGUGCAGAAGAGGAGAGCGGAAUUCCACGUGUAGCGGUGAAAUGCGUAGAGAUGUGGAGGAACACCAGUGGCGAAGGCGGCUCUCUGGUCUGUAACUGACGCUGAGGCGCGAAAGCGUGGGGAGCGAACAGGAUUAGAUACCCUGGUAGUCCACGCCGUAAACGAUGAGUGCUAAGUGUUAGAGGGUUUCCGCCCUUUAGUGCUGCAGCAAACGCAUUAAGCACUCCGCCUGGGGAGUACGGCCGCAAGGCUGAAACUCAAAGGAAUUGACGGGGGCCCGCACAAGCGGUGGAGCAUGUGGUUUAAUUCGAAGCAACGCGAAGAACCUUACCAGGUCUUGACAUCCUCUGACAACCCUAGAGAUAGGGCGUUCCCCUUCGGGGGACAGAGUGACAGGUGGUGCAUGGUUGUCGUCAGCUCGUGUCGUGAGAUGUUGGGUUAAGUCCCGCAACGAGCGCAACCCUUGAUCUUAGUUGCCAGCAUUCAGUUGGGCACUCUAAGGUGACUGCCGGUGACAAACCGGAGGAAGGUGGGGAUGACGUCAAAUCAUCAUGCCCCUUAUGACCUGGGCUACACACGUGCUACAAUGGAUGGAACAAAGGGCAGCGAAGCCGCGAGGUGAAGCCAAUCCCAUAAAACCAUUCUCAGUUCGGAUUGCAGGCUGCAACUCGCCUGCAUGAAGCCGGAAUCGUUGGUAAUCGCGGAUCAGCAUGCCGCGGUGACUACGUUCCCGUAGAUUGUGCAC
Molecule: ribosomal RNA, 1300 nt
Filed under: Mesobacillus thioparans
Lineage: Bacteria; Bacillati; Bacillota; Bacilli; Caryophanales; Bacillaceae
Description: bacterial SSU rRNA
Rfam family: Bacterial small subunit ribosomal RNA
Source: RNAcentral